GCCUGGGUGGCUCAGUCGGUUGAGCGUCUGACUUCGGCCCAGGUCAUGAUCUCGCGGUUUGCGGGUUCGAGUCCCGCAUCGGGCU
Felis catus (domestic cat) is the source of this 85-nucleotide transfer RNA. It matches the Rfam family "tRNA". From Rfam's summary of the family: Transfer RNA (tRNA) molecules are approximately 80 nucleotides in length. Their secondary structure includes four short double-helical elements and three loops (D, anti-codon, and T loops). Lineage: Eukaryota; Metazoa; Chordata; Mammalia; Carnivora; Felidae. The record is from Rfam.